This 405-nucleotide ribosomal RNA is filed under the name uncultured bacterium. Its description in RNAcentral is "bacterial SSU rRNA". It matches the Rfam family "Bacterial small subunit ribosomal RNA", at positions 355 to 774 of the family's 1533-position model. The record is from RNAcentral.
UGGGGAAUUUUGGACAAUGGACGAAAGUCUGAUCCAGCAACGCUGCGUGAAGGACGAAGGUUUUCGGAUUGUAAACUUCUUUUGCAGGGGAAGAAAAAAAUGACGGUACCCUGUGAAUAAGCCACGGCUAACUACGUGCCAGCAGCCGCGGUAAGACGUAGGUGGCGAGCGUUACUCGGAAUUACUAGGCGUAAAGCGUACGUAGGCGGAAGUUUAAGUCUGUUGUGUAAUCUCCAAGCUCAACUUGGAAACUGCAACAGAAACUGGGCUUCUUGAGUGAGGCAGAGGAAAACGGAAUUCCUGGUGUAGCAGUGAAAUGCGUAGAUAUCAGGAGGAACACCGGUGGCGAAGGCGGUUUUCUGGGCCUUUACUGACGCUAAAGUACGAAAGCUAGGGGAGCAAACG